RNAcentral lists this ribosomal RNA (337 nucleotides) under uncultured bacterium. RNAcentral's name for it is "bacterial SSU rRNA". It matches the Rfam family "Bacterial small subunit ribosomal RNA", at positions 22 to 356 of the family's 1533-position model. The record is from RNAcentral.
GCUCAGGAUGAACGCUGGCGGCGUGCUUAACACAUGCAAGUCGAACGAUGAAGCCCGUGCUUGCACGGGUGGAUUAGUGGCGAACGGGUGAGUAUCACGUGAGUAACCUGCCCUUAACUCUGGGAUAAGCCUGGGAAACUGGGUCUAAUACCGGAUACGACCAGUCACCGCAUGGUGUGCUGGUGGAAAGCUUUUGCGGUUUUGGAUGGACUCGCGGCCUAUCAGCUAGACGGUGGGGUAAUGGCCUACCGUGGCGAUGACGGGUAGCCGGCCCGAGAGGGUGACCGGCCACACUGGGACUGAGACACGGCCCAGACUCCUACGGGAGGCAGCAGUA